UCCAUCAUUGGCUGAAGAAAUACUGAGAAUUGGGAGCAUUUGUACACCGGGGCCAGAACUAACCUCUGAAGCUCCAGUUCAAUCAUUAUCCAACGAACUUGUUGUAAAGGAAAAGAAAACUAGAGGAUUAUUCACCACCCCUGUCCGUUGUGGGCGUUAGUGUUCUGAAGGGAAUCAUGAUAGAUGACAUGUUAAAGGAGAUAAGAAAGCUUUAAGGGAGUGCAUGGAUUCCACUGAAGUAUCAUCGGCUUUGAAUUCGCCCUUGGAAAUUGGGAAGUGAUGUUUUGUCGAAACCGCAUUGGUCGCAAAUCUGGAAGUGACUACCACAGAGCAAGAUGAAAAAAUUGCAAAUUGAUUCUGGCGAACAGACCUCAAAGACUGAGGAAGCAUUGCUUGUGGACCCAGAUCCUCAUCCGCGGAUGGUUGGGAGCAACAUGGCAGAGUAAUUAUUAGGAGCCAUGAAAAUGAAUUGAUGAUACCUUUAUAAUAAACGGUGUUCUGUAGUUACUGUGACAUCCAAGUUAAUAUAGUGAUCAGCUUGUUACUUCCGAGUUGUGGCUGUAAAUAUGCAAAACAUGAUGCCGUGAUGGAAGCGUACAUGGGUGCGCCCUUUUAAUGUAAUUCUGAACUUCUUGAUCAAUUGUGAGGACAACCAAUGCCAUUUAUUGGGAUCUA
Molecule: long non-coding RNA, 675 nt
Organism: Prosopis cineraria
Lineage: Eukaryota; Viridiplantae; Streptophyta; Magnoliopsida; Fabales; Fabaceae
Exons: 2
Source: RefSeq, a predicted model, not a curated record